Molecule: ribosomal RNA, 522 nt
Filed under: Philonthus quisquiliarius
Lineage: Eukaryota; Metazoa; Arthropoda; Insecta; Coleoptera; Staphylinidae
Description: partial large subunit ribosomal RNA
Source: RNAcentral
AUAGUACGUGAACCGUUCAGGGGUAAACCUGAGAAACCCGAAAGGUCGAAAGGGGAGAUUCAGCGCGUCUCUCGUCCGCCCGCGAGCGGUGAGCUUCCUGCGACGGUCGGCGAACGCGCCGGCCGCGCUGCUCGCCGCUACAUGGGACCGGAAAGAUGGUGAACUUCUCCCCCAGUAGGACGUCUCGACCCGUUGGGCGCGGGCCUAAGGACCGGUGGGGCAGAUCGCGGCGGACCCCUUCACGGGCGUCCGUCCGGACCCCCGGCUCCCGGCCCGCUCGCUCGACGGUAUGACAGUGGCGCGGGGCCGCGAUGUGUUCGCGUCCGGCCCGUCGCAAGUGCCCGCGGUUAAUCCGGCUGUUCGGACCUAGCGCCGACACCGGACCCGUCGGGACUGCUGGCGGCGGUGUCCUCGGACAGACCCCGUUUUACACGCCCGUCAGCGACGCUAUAGCUUUGGGUACUUUCAGGACCCGUCCUGAAACACGGACCAAGGAGUCUAGCAUGUGCGCGAGUCAUUGGG